GGUGGCCAAGGAGAGGUGGGUACACCCGAUUCCAUUCCGAACUCGGAAGUUAAGCACCUCAUCGCCGAUGAUACUGCAGUCUAAGCUGUGGGAAAGUAGGUCGCUGCC
Molecule: ribosomal RNA, 108 nt
Filed under: uncultured Pseudodesulfovibrio sp.
Lineage: Bacteria; Pseudomonadati; Thermodesulfobacteriota; Desulfovibrionia; Desulfovibrionales; Desulfovibrionaceae
Source: RNAcentral